RNAcentral lists this ribosomal RNA (450 nucleotides) under uncultured bacterium. RNAcentral's name for it is "bacterial SSU rRNA". It matches the Rfam family "Bacterial small subunit ribosomal RNA", at positions 9 to 450 of the family's 1533-position model. The record is from RNAcentral.
GAGUUUGAUCCUGGCUCAGGACGAACGCUGGCGGCGCGCUUAACACAUGCAAGUCGAGCGAGAACCAGUCCUUCGGGACUGGGGACAGCGGCGAACGGGUGGAGUAACACGUGAGUAAUCAACCCUCGGUACCGGGAUAGCCCGGGGAAACUCGGAUUAAUACCGGAUGGCCCAUCCGCUUUUCGGAGCGGUUGGAAAAGGUAGCUUCGGCCUCCGACCGGGGACGAGCUCGCGGCGGAUUAGCUUGUUGGCGGGGUAACGCCCACCAAGGCGACGAUCCGUAGCUGGUCUGAGAGGACGAUCAGCCACACUGGGACUGAGACACGGCCCAGACUCCUACGGGAGGCAGCAGUGGGGAAUCUUGCGCAAUGGGCGAAAAGCCUGACGCAGCGACGCCGCGUGAGGGAAGAAGGCCUUCGGGUUGUAAACCGUCUUUCAGGAGGGACGAAG